This 253-nucleotide unclassified non-coding RNA is filed under the name uncultured Alphaproteobacteria bacterium. RNAcentral describes it as "contains 16S-23S intergenic spacer region". It matches the Rfam family "Bacterial small subunit ribosomal RNA", at positions 524 to 776 of the family's 1533-position model. The record is from RNAcentral. Lineage: Bacteria; Pseudomonadati; Pseudomonadota; Alphaproteobacteria.
UACGAAUGGGGCAAGCGUUGUUCGGAAUCACUGGGCUUAAAGCGUGCGUAGGCGGAUUUGCAAGUCAGAAGUGAAAGCCCAGGGCUCAACCUUGGAAUUGCUUUUGAAACUGCAAAUCUAGAAUCCGGGAGAGGUCAGGAGAAUUCCCAGUGUAGAGGUGAAAUUCGCAGAUAUUGGGAGGAAUACCAGUGGCGUAGGCGCCUGACUGGACCGGCAUUGACGCUGAGGUACGAAGCCCUGGGGCGCAAACCGG